UGGUUGGCUGCUUUGGAAGGUUCAUGCCAGAACUGCUAGAUGGGUACAGUGUCACAGUGUACACCAACUAAGAGGCCCAUCAUUUUGAUGAAAGGAGUAAUUAUUCAUGUCUCAAGUCUUCUAGAGGAUUAUUCUGUCCACUGUUUGUUGAGCUUUCUAGUUGUGUACUCUUCAUAGUUUUGUUGUUGUUGUUGUUGUUGUUGUUGUUGUUGUUUUUGUUUCUAUUUAUUUCUUCCCCAACUUUAAGCUUGUGUUUUUUUCUCUUUCUUCUUUACCUCCAAGGCUUGUCCUUUUUCCUAUUUUUGAAUUUAAGCCUGACCUUUCCUGUUCUGUCACAGUGUUAGAUGAGUUCUUUGUCUUUAUUUUGUUAGAUUUUCUUUCCUGGGCUUUUCACAUUUUACAACUCAAGAUUUCUCUCAGCAAAUUAAUGCCUUGUCUUUAACAGACCAUCUCUUUAUCUGCAUCAUUAAAACUGCUCAAUGGCAGCUUUAAAGUUUUCUUUGUAUUUUGAAUGAAACCUAGCUAUGUGGAAAAGAAAUUAUCCCUUUAAGCAUGCUGCCCAUUGAGCCCACAGGCACCUUGUUGUCCUAGGUUAGUUUUAACAGAUUUCAGAGUUUCAGAUUUUAGAGAAACACAAGAUGAAAGAUCAGACAACACUUGUAAGAGAGUAUGACAGAGGAAAAUAAAAAAAGGAAUAGAGAGACAAAGUUUAGCAUACCAAAAGAACUGUGGAAAUUGGUGGAGACUGAAGGAAGACAUGCUUCCUAAGCAGAUGAAUUUCAGUAUUUCACAGUGAAUCUGGAAUCAGAAAAAGCUUUUUGGAGUGCUUUUGUGCUGCCUGAUGAGGCCAUUUCCCAGCCAACCAGACUGUAUGAAAGAACUGCCUAAAUAUCAUGGAAGAGUACGCAUUCAGGAGACAGCAGUGUCUCAUGAUAGG
Molecule: long non-coding RNA, 937 nt
Organism: Cygnus olor (mute swan)
Lineage: Eukaryota; Metazoa; Chordata; Aves; Anseriformes; Anatidae
Exons: 3
Source: RefSeq, a predicted model, not a curated record